This 253-nucleotide ribosomal RNA is filed under the name uncultured bacterium. RNAcentral describes it as "partial 16S ribosomal RNA". It matches the Rfam family "Bacterial small subunit ribosomal RNA", at positions 524 to 776 of the family's 1533-position model. The record is from RNAcentral.
UACAGAGGUCUCAAGCGUUGUUCGGAUUCAUUGGGCGUAAAGGGUGCGUAGGCGGCGCGGUAAGUCGGGUGUGAAAUUUCGAGGCUUAACUUCGAAACUGCAUUCGAUACUGCCGUGCUAGUGGACUGGAGAGGAGACUGGAAUUUACGGUGUAGCGGUGAAAUGCGUAGAUAUCGUAAGGAAGACCAGUGGCGAAGGCGGGUCUCUGGACAGUUCCUGACGCUGAGGCACGAAGGCCAGGAGAGCAAACGGG